Molecule: long non-coding RNA, 326 nt
Filed under: Homo sapiens (human)
Lineage: Eukaryota; Metazoa; Chordata; Mammalia; Primates; Hominidae
Source: RNAcentral
CGGACUGCUGGGCAGCACUAGCACUCUGGAGAAGGUCUGCCGCUGUCUGCACUUUCCUGGUUCUAUGCAGGCAGAUGAGUGUCACAGCUGUAACUGAGGCACAGAGCAGUACACACAGUGGAGCCGAUUUCCGCGAUGGCGAGAGGGGGCACCGGAGGUGACAACAAUAACAAGACUGUCCUUCGGACAAGUUUUAGGUAAGAAAAUAUUUAUGCCCUGAUUCUUGUAUUUCUGCACUUUGUGUCUGCAACAUUGGGAUAGAAAGCAACUCUGGAUAGGGAAAUAUCUUUGUGAGGGUAUCAUCUGUGCUGUCACUUGCCUGCAAA